This is an RNA transcript of Cebus imitator (Panamanian white-faced capuchin), 2611 nucleotides long. It is a transcript of the gene named hyaluronan mediated motility receptor-like, with no coding region annotated. The transcript has a single exon. The record is from RefSeq and is a predicted model, not a curated record. NCBI's taxonomy places the organism in Eukaryota, Metazoa, Chordata, Mammalia, Primates, Cebidae.
AUUUUAAACUUCUAUGCACCUAAUAUUAUAGCUUCAAAAAAACAAAGAUACACAAAAACAUACGGAAAAUGGACAAAUCCACCAUGAUAGUGGGAGAUUUUAACAUGCCUAAUUGAUAGAACAAACAAAUCAAAAAGCAAUUAAGAUAUACAAAACAUCUAAACAACACGAUUAACAAGUUUGAUCUGACGGAAAAACACAGACAAUGGCACAAAACAACUGAAGAAUACCCCUUGUUUCCAAAUAAACAUGAAAUAUUUAUAGAAACAGGUGUAUAAAGUUCCAAAAAUUGACAUAAAGCACCAAUUGGGAAAUUUUAAGUCUUCUAAAUAACUCAGAUUAAAAAGGAAAUCAUAAUGGGAAGAUAGGAAUAAGAAUAUUCUCAUUUCAGAGGCAGUGAUAAUCCUCAUUCAGUUGCAGAGGGGUGCCAAUGACUUUCGGUUUCUGGAGCUGGCUGUCAACAUGUCCUUUCCUAAGGCACCCCUGAAACGAUUCAACGACCCUUCUGGUUGUGCACCAUCUCCAGGUGCUUACGAUGUUAAAACUUCAGAGGUAUUGAAAGGACCAAUAUCCUUUCAGAAAUCACAAAGAUUUAAACAACAAAAAGAUUCUAAACAAAAUCUUAAUGUUGACAAAGAUACUACCUUGCCUUCUUCAGCUAGAAAAGUUAAGUCUUCAGAAUCAAAAGAAUCUCAAAAGAAUGAUAAAGAUUUGAAGAUAUCAGAAAAAGGAUUUGUGUUCUUAUACAGGAACAUGGUGCUCAGGACAGGCGGAUCCAGGAUCUGGAAACUGAAUUGGAAAAGACGGAAGCAAGGCUAAACGCUGCAUUCAGGGAAAAAACACCUCUCUCUGCAAAUAAUGCUUCACUGGAAAAACAACUUACUGAAUUGACCAGGACUAAUGAACUACUAAAAUCUAAGUUUUUGGAAAAUGGUAACCAGGAGAAUUUGGGAAUUCUAAGCUUGGAGCUGAUGAAACUUAGAAACAAAAGAGAAACAAAGAUGAGGGAUCUGAUGGCUAAGCAAGAAGGCAUGGAAAUGAAGCUACAGGUCACCCAAAGGAGUCUCAAAGAGUCUCAGGGGAAAAUAGCCCAACUGGAGGGAAAACUUGUUUCAAUGGAGAAAGAAAAGAUUGAUGAAAAAUCUGAAACAGAAAAACUCUUAGAAUAUAUCCAAGAAAUUAGUUGUGCUUCAGAUCAAGUGGAAAAAUACAAGCUAGAUAUUGCCCAGUUAGAAGAAAAUUUGAAGGAGAAGAAUCAUGAAAUUUUAAGCCUUAAGCAGUCUCUUGAGAAAAUUACUGUUAUAUUAUCUAAACAAGUAGAAGACCUAAAUGCGAAAGGUCUGCUGCUUGAAAAAGAAAAAGAAGAUCAUGUCAACAGGAAUAGAGAACAUAAUGAAAACCUAAAUGCUGAGAUGUGAAACCUAAAACAGAAGUUUAUUAUUGAACAACAGGAACGUGAAAAGUUUCAACAAAAGGAAUUACAAGAAUAAUCUUCUAGUCUUCAUCAGAAGCUGUGUUCUUUUCAAGAGGAGAUGGUUAAAGAGAAGAAUCUCUUUGAGGAAGAAUUAAAACAAGCACUGGAUGAGCCUGAUAAAUUACAGCAAAAGGAGGAACAAUCUGAAAGGCUGGUCAAGCAAUUGGAAGAGGAAACAAAAUCUAGAGCUGAGGAAUUAAAACUCCUAGAAGAAAAGCUGAAAGGGAAGGAGGCUGAACUGGAGAAAAGUAGUGCUGUUCAUACCCAGGCCACCCUGCUUUUGCAGGAAAAGUUUAACAGUACAGUGCAAAGCCUUGAAGAUGUUACUGCUCAAUUUGAAAGCUAUAAAGCGUUAACAGCCAGUGAGAUAGAAGAUCUUAAGCUGCAGAACUCAUCAUUACAGGAAAAAAUGGCCAAGGAUGGAAAAAAUGCAGAAGAUAUUCAGGGUCAGAUAUUGGCAACUGAGAGCUCAAAUCAAGAAUAUGCAAGGAUGCUUCUUGAUCUACAGACCAAGUCAGCACUAAAAGAAAGAGAAAUUAAAGAAAUCACAGUUUCUUCUUUUCAAAAAACAACUGAUUUGCAGAACCAACUCAAGCAACAAGAAGAAGAUUUUAUAAAACAACUGGAAGAUGAAGGAGCAAGAAACGCUGGAAAAGAAAAUACAAUGGCAGAAUUAACUGAAGAAAUUAACAAGUGGCGUCUCAUUUACGAAGAACUGUAUAAUAAAAUAAAACCUUUCCAGCUACAACUAGAUGCUUUCAAAGCAGAAAAACAGGCAUUGUUGAAUGAAUAUGGUGCAGCUCAGGAACAGCUAAAUAAAAUAAGAGAUUCAUAUGCUAAAUUAUUGGGUCAUCAGAAUUUAAAAUAAAAAAUCAAGCAUGUCGUGAAGCUGAAAGAUGAAAAUAGCCAACUCAAAUCGGAAGUAUCAAAACUCCGCUGUCUGCUUGCUAAAAAAAAAAACAAACUGAGACAAAACUUCAAGAUGAAUUGAAUAAAGUCCUAGGUAUCAAACGCUUUGAUCCUUCAAAGGCUUUUCAUCAUGAAAGUAAAGAAAAUUUUGCCCUGAAAACCCCAUUAAAAGAAGGCAAUACAAACUGUUACUAAGCUCCUGUGUAGUGUCAGGAAUCAUGGAAGUAA